UACGUAGGAUCCAAGCGUUGUCCGGAUUUACUGGGUGUAAAGGGUGCGCAGGCGGACUUAUAAGUCAGGGGUGAAAUCUCGCCGCUUAACGGCGAAACUGCCUUUGAUACUGUAGGUCUUGAGUCAGAGAGAGAUUCGUGGAAUUCCGAGUGUAGCAGUGAAAUGUGUAGAUAUUCGGAAGAACACCAGUGGCGAAGGCAGCGAAUUGGCUCUGUACUGACGCUCAGGCACGAAAGCAUGGGGAUCAAAC
Molecule: ribosomal RNA, 250 nt
Filed under: uncultured bacterium
Lineage: Bacteria
Description: partial 16S ribosomal RNA
Rfam family: Bacterial small subunit ribosomal RNA
Source: RNAcentral